GACGAACGCUGGCGGCGUGCUUAACACAUGCAAGUCGAACGGAAAGGCCCUGCUUUUGUGGGGUGCUCGAGUGGCGAACGGGGGAGUAACACGUGAGGAACCUGCCCUUGACUUUGGGAUAACUUCAGGAAACUGGGGCUAAUACCGGAUAGGAGCUCCUGCUGCAUGGUGGGGGUUGGAAAGUUUCGGCGGUUGGGGAUGUACUCGCGGCUUAUCAGCUAGUUGGUAAGGUAGUGGCUUACCAAGGCUAUGACGGGUAGCCGGCCUGAGAGGGUGAUCGGCCACACUGGAACGGAGACACGGUCCAGACGCCUACGGGAGGCAGCAGUAGGGAAUCUUCCGCAAUGGGCGAAAGCCUGACGGAGCAACGCCGCGUGAGUGAUGAAGGUCUUCGGAGCGUAAAACUCUGUUAUGAGGGAAGAACAAAUGUGUAAGGAACUAUGCACGUCUGGACGGUACCUAAUCAGAAAGCCACGGCUAACUACGUG
RNAcentral lists this ribosomal RNA (488 nucleotides) under uncultured bacterium. RNAcentral describes it as "partial 16S ribosomal RNA". It matches the Rfam family "Bacterial small subunit ribosomal RNA", at positions 28 to 507 of the family's 1533-position model. The record is from RNAcentral.